ACGCUCGACACCUACGGGACAGCAGUGGGGAAUAUUGCACAAUGGGGGAAACCCGUGAUGCAGCGACGCCGCGUGAGCGAAGAAGUAUUUCGGUAUGUAAAGCUCUAUCAGCAGGGAAGAAGAAAGACGGUACCUGACUAAGAAGCCCCGGCCUAACUACGUGCCAGCAGCCGCGGUAAUCUGAGCGGGCUGGCAAGGC
This 199-nucleotide ribosomal RNA is filed under the name uncultured bacterium. Its description in RNAcentral is "partial 16S ribosomal RNA". It matches the Rfam family "Bacterial small subunit ribosomal RNA", at positions 326 to 539 of the family's 1533-position model. The record is from RNAcentral.